AGGGGACGCUUCUUCCAGGUUUGGGAAAGGGGCGGGGAGCCGAAGCGAUGAGGUCUGCAAAGCUGCCUUGGGUACGGGAGUACCCAGCGCUCGCCUUGGAAGACGACCCGCGCGCUCCUCUCACAGCUAAUUCGGGAUCAUUAAUUUAAUCGGAAAUGAGGUAACCAGUGCAGAAGAUACAGAAAGCAAGCCGAGCAUCAAAUGGCAGCUCUGGUGAAUCCACGCCGAAGAACUUCCUCUGCGCUCAAUUUUUAAGCGCGGUUCUCAAGUGUCCACCACCCCGCCCCCUCCGCGUGUGCCACCGCUGGGUGCUGGCACCCUGGGAAGGACAUCUUAUGUGGAAGGGUGCACCUUGCCAACAGGUGUGGCACCUGGAGGAAGAGAAGGUACAUCCACGCUGAAGGGAGCUCAGUGCGGCGUUCUACCUGCCGCAGAUAAUUCUGGAAGACCAGUAGGUGUCGGGGCAGCAUUUGACCUCUUUCAGGUGCUUUGAACCCAGUGUCUAGAAACAUGGUCUUUCCACGUAAGUUUCUAUCUGAAAGCCACCACUAUUGACUGUAAACUGUAUCUGAGAAACCUUUGGCUGAGUUUACUCAUGACCUAACGGUUAGUCACCAACCGAAGCAGGAUACAGAAUCACCCAAAGAAAUGUGCCUGCUUUGAAACAACUGUAUCGUAGAGCCAACGUGCUCCAGAAAUAAAAAUAAGCCUACUAACAACUAGGAAGGUGUAGAGAGCCCCGGAAAUAAUUUUUUCUCACAUUUUGAAAUACCAUGCACAUAUACGUGGCUAUUUAAAUAAAACUGCUGUUCACUCUUA
This is a long non-coding RNA of Suricata suricatta (meerkat), 819 nucleotides long. RefSeq lists it as uncharacterized. The transcript has 2 exons. The record is from RefSeq and is a predicted model, not a curated record. NCBI's taxonomy places the organism in Eukaryota, Metazoa, Chordata, Mammalia, Carnivora, Herpestidae.